CCUUAAUAUCUAACCAACGCCCACAUCCAUUAUCUGUCCCCUCCCUCAAACAAAUUUCUCAGCCCACAAAACUCCGCCCCCAAUCCUCGCCGGUAAUUUGUGGAUGAAGAGAAGAUGUUUAAGAACAUAAAACGGGGAGAAAAUGAAUGGGUCAAAUCGUGGAUGCACGAUUGAAUAUGAGUAAGAAUCUCCAUUGAAAAACAUGACCAUUUUGAUCAAAAGAUUGGCAUUGAAGGAUGUCAUUGCUAGAAGCUUUCUGGCUUUUUUUGGAAUGCUGUAAGCUUCCAAGUUUCUGGACAUGUAUCUUGAAGAACUGGAGUUGUCUUGAAGAAAUCUUGAAGAACAGAGGUUAUCUUGAAUGCCUUAUUCAAGAAAUCUCUUGGAACAGAUACUCUUCAAUGUAGAGUUGGAUCGAUAUUAUGAAGCUCGCAAAUUCUUCUCAUGCUUGUGACUUGUGAGAAUGUUUCGCUACUUUCAUUAACAUAAGUGAAUCCCGAAUUUAGAGUAUGAA
This is a long non-coding RNA of Solanum tuberosum (potato), 511 nucleotides long. RefSeq lists it as uncharacterized. The transcript has 2 exons. The record is from RefSeq and is a predicted model, not a curated record. NCBI's taxonomy places the organism in Eukaryota, Viridiplantae, Streptophyta, Magnoliopsida, Solanales, Solanaceae.